RNAcentral lists this long non-coding RNA (322 nucleotides) under Equus asinus (donkey). Its description in RNAcentral is "lncRNA (ENSEASG00005036782.1)". The record is from RNAcentral. Lineage: Eukaryota; Metazoa; Chordata; Mammalia; Perissodactyla; Equidae.
UGAAAGAUGAAUUUAAGCCUAAACCACGAGGGCAGUAUUUUACAGAGUAUUCUCCUCAUACCUCGGGAUCAAGGAAGCAUCUUGGUGGACCCGUGUUAUGCAAAAUACAGUUAGGGGAGGACUACUCCAGGACUGGCGCAGACCCUGACAGAGCUGUCCGACGUUGCGCAUCUGUGUGGGUUAUUUGGAUCCAAUCUCUUCAACUCUGGCAGCAUGUGAGAAUUACUUGGGGAACAUUGAAAACUCACAGACGUCUGGGUCUCACCCAAGACCAAGUUAAUCAAAAUCUCUAGGGGAUGUGAAGUCUGGGUCAGUCGGAUCA